RNAcentral lists this ribosomal RNA (301 nucleotides) under uncultured bacterium. RNAcentral describes it as "partial 16S ribosomal RNA". It matches the Rfam family "Bacterial small subunit ribosomal RNA", at positions 504 to 809 of the family's 1533-position model. The record is from RNAcentral.
CGCGCCACGGGAAUACGUAGGGUGCAAGCGUUAAUCGGAAUUACUGGGCGUAAAGCGUGCGCAGGCGGUUAUAUAAGACAGAUGUGAAAUCCCCGGGCUCAACCUGGGAACUGCAUUUGUGACUGUAUAGCUAGAGUACGGCAGAGGGGGAUGGAAUUCCGCGUGUAGCAGUGAAAUGCGUAGAUAUGCGGAGGAACACCGAUGGCGAAGGCAAUCCCCUGGGCCUGUACUGACGCUCAUGCACGAAAGCGUGGGGAGCAAACAGGAUUAGAUACCCGAGUAGUCCCUGUCUCUUAUACAC